RNAcentral lists this long non-coding RNA (487 nucleotides) under Rattus norvegicus (Norway rat). RNAcentral's name for it is "long non-coding RNA NONRATT005715". The record is from RNAcentral. Lineage: Eukaryota; Metazoa; Chordata; Mammalia; Rodentia; Muridae.
ACCAGAUUCAUUUUCAUAUGUUAAAUCCGGAGUUUCCUGUACUUGGCACUCUAGUGAAAGGAUACUGAGCCCGUGGGGUCACAGGCUUGGCAGGGCUGGGCAGAGAGCAGGUUGUCAUCUCCUUAUUGAACUCAGUGAACGGAGCGCAGAGAGAAAGUCUUGUGUGUGAGGAGUGUGCAGCCUUCCCUGCCUUCUCCAGGCAAGAAAGUGUAGACUCUGAGUUGCUACCAUUGUUAACUCCAGUGGGGUGGUCCUGGUGGUCCUCCGCAGCCACCCUCAUGAGAACAAAAGCCUUUCUGGCCUGGGCGGAGAGUCCGAUGCCUGCCACAGUCCACAGAGCCUUUCAUUCACUUCCUGCUAUGGAUUGCCGCAGCAGCUUCCAGCUCCUCCCUUUCUUCCAUUUCUCUGUGUGACAGCAUUCUGUCGUAGGCUCUGCAGUCUUCUUGAAAGCUGUAGACUGGAAGCUUUCCGGUGUCCUUGGGAAGAA